This is a long non-coding RNA of Jaculus jaculus (lesser Egyptian jerboa), 711 nucleotides long. RefSeq lists it as uncharacterized. The record is from RefSeq and is a predicted model, not a curated record. The transcript has 2 exons. NCBI's taxonomy places the organism in Eukaryota, Metazoa, Chordata, Mammalia, Rodentia, Dipodidae.
CGUCGCAACUGCGCUGACCUUUGCGGCCCUGAAAGUGCGCCUGGCGCGGGCACGGUGACACCGGCUCGGACUUCACGCCUCGCGCGGGCCACGCUGUCCUUCUCCCGGGCCCCAAGGCCAGCUCUACCUGCGCUCAGUGGAAUAACCUGUCUACGCCUGCAACAGCCAGACUGGAGCGAUGGUCUCCACGGCCUCCCUUUUCCUCCCCUCGCAAGUCUUCAGGAGAAAGGUCUGAUUCUCAGAGUCGAUGGGACGAAAGGACUGCGAGACCCGUGCCCAGCCUGAGACCGUGUGCACUCAGGUCUUUCUCCAUCUUCGCCUCCUGCUCUGUGCCUGGGGAGCUUGAGCCCAGCCAGCUUUAUUUUCAGACUUCUCUGCUUGAAAUGUAGCCAGCAAGACUCGGCUGUGGAAAACCUUCGUGAAGGUCUAGUGGGACAAUGGAGGAAGAGGAAGGACCCAGGAUGCUCCGUUCUCUUCCUAUUUCAAUGGAGUUUCCUACAGAGGCUGCAUCUCCUGUGUGUCCCCCACCCAUUCCUUUUGUUGUGGGGUGCCCUGUUCAUGGGCUCCAGUGAUACCACCUCCUCCAUUUGUCUUUCAGUCUGGAGGUGACAGUACUCAUCUCUGGUCACCUGACUGUCACCAUUAUGUUGGAUCUCAUCUUUGUUACCACCUUUGUAGCCUAUUCUUACAUUAAAUUCCUUCUGUAAUAAA